This is a long non-coding RNA of Siniperca chuatsi (mandarin fish), 302 nucleotides long. RefSeq lists it as uncharacterized. Lineage: Eukaryota; Metazoa; Chordata; Actinopteri; Centrarchiformes; Sinipercidae. The transcript is spliced from 3 exons. The record is from RefSeq and is a predicted model, not a curated record.
UGGUAGCCAAGGAGACAUCUAAAGGAGGCGGUGGCAUAUGUGAGUUUCUCUUGCAUUUAUGCCGUUUUAAAUGGAUGUACUGUACAGCAUUUUGUAGUUUGCUGUUCACUAAGCGCUUCAGGUCGUAAACUGAGGCAAUGAAUGGGCAACAGGGAAAUGUAACAUUCAAAAAAUGGUCAAGCACACUGCAACCUUGUACACCUUGUACUACCCAGUGGUGAAAAAUGGAAAGUGAGAGAUAACAGAAUGGCGGUAAGAGAUGGUGUUGCAAGUCAAUCUCCAGUCGUCUUCCCGUAGUGGAC